RNAcentral lists this small RNA (282 nucleotides) under Pseudoalteromonas translucida TAC125. RNAcentral describes it as "Pseudoalteromonas haloplanktis TAC125 5' ureB small RNA". It matches the Rfam family "5' ureB small RNA". The record is from Rfam by way of RNAcentral. Lineage: Bacteria; Pseudomonadati; Pseudomonadota; Gammaproteobacteria; Alteromonadales; Pseudoalteromonadaceae.
UCGUCAACUUGUUGUGGGCAAAUAUAGUGCACGUGGGUAUCAACGCCACCGGCGGUCAAAAUUUGACCUUCACCGGCAAUAAUUUCGGUACCUGGGCCAAUAAUAAUGUCUAUAUCGGGCUGCGUGUCAGGGUUGCCAGAUUUGCCAAUAGCAGCAAUGCGGCCAUUUUUUAAACCUACGUCGGCUUUAAUAAUGCCCCACCAGUCGAUAAUCACUGCGUUAGUGAUAACCGUGUCCAUAACGGCGUCAUCACAGCGUUGGCUUUGUCCCAUGCCAUCACGA